GUGGGGAAUCUUGCGCAAUGGGCGAAAGCCUGACGCAGCCAUGCCGCGUGAAUGAUGAAGGUCUUAGGAUUGUAAAAUUCUUUCACCGGGGACGAUAAUGACGGUACCCGGAGAAGAAGCUCCGGCUAACUUCGUGCCAGCAGCCGCGGUAAUACGAAGGGGGCUAGCGUUGCUCGGAAUUACUGGGCGUAAAGGGCGCGUAGGCGGACAGCUUAGUCAGAGGUGAAAGCCCAGGGCUCAACCUUGGAAUUGCCUUUGAUACUGGCUGUCUUGAGUUUGGGAGAGGUGAGUGGAACUCCGAGUAUAGAGGUGAAAUUCGUAGAUAUUCGGAAGAACACCAGUGGCGAAGGCGACUCACUGGCCCAAUACUGACGCUGAGGCGCGAAAGCGUGGGGAGCAAACAGGAUUAGAUACCCUGGUAGUCC
Molecule: ribosomal RNA, 425 nt
Filed under: uncultured bacterium
Lineage: Bacteria
Description: partial 16S ribosomal RNA
Rfam family: Bacterial small subunit ribosomal RNA
Source: RNAcentral